GGUUAGGGUAAAAAAAAAAACUCUCUCUCUCUCUCUCUCUAUCUCUCUCUCAACUUUGCUCCUCUUCGCCAAUCUUCACCACGUCUGCCCAAACUCUCAGCUAACCAUUUUCAUCAUUUUUCCUGCCAAUCUUCACCACGUUUGCCCUGAACUCUCAGAGAGAAGAUGUUAAUUAAAGGUAGAAAAGAACGCACACCUGAGAGAUUUUUACUUUUGCUGAUUUACCUGCACCUGAAUUACAAUGGGUGGAGACGCCACCAGCACUGGUACCUCAUCUUGAUGGAGCAUCCAUACAGAUUAAAAAACUUUUAUAUGUGUUUGCAGGAUAUCGCACACUUGACCAUGUGCACUCUCAUGUUGACAUACACAAUUUCACUAGUAAUACAUGGGGAGGGAGGUUUGAUUUGCCCAAAGAGAUGGGGUAUUCACAUUUAGUUUUGUAAAGAUAUUUUCAGAUAUUUUAUGUUUUUUACAAUUCAAGGUGGCUCUAAUUGAAAUGCAAUUAACUAUUUGAUGAAAUGCCUCUAUGAGCUAUCUAUUUAACUGCAAGAGUUUUAGGCUGA
This is a long non-coding RNA of Quercus robur (English oak), 563 nucleotides long. RefSeq lists it as uncharacterized. Lineage: Eukaryota; Viridiplantae; Streptophyta; Magnoliopsida; Fagales; Fagaceae. The record is from RefSeq and is a predicted model, not a curated record. The transcript has 3 exons.